Rhinolophus ferrumequinum (greater horseshoe bat) is the source of this 554-nucleotide long non-coding RNA. RefSeq lists it as uncharacterized. The record is from RefSeq and is a predicted model, not a curated record. The transcript is spliced from 4 exons. Lineage: Eukaryota; Metazoa; Chordata; Mammalia; Chiroptera; Rhinolophidae.
CUGUCGUUGAUUGCUUCUCCCGCGCAUUUGCAGAGGUUUUUUUUUUUUCAACCUCAAUUUGAUGGUUGCCAGCUGACCUACCCGUGGGGUUAUCCAGGGCCUGUGCGCGUUUUAAAGGCUUUAGGAGAGCAGUCGGCGCUGGCCCUGGGACUCCUCUACCUCGGCAAAAGUGGUCACUGACCCUGUACGGUAAACAACUUGCACCCCGUCAGAGGGUAUUUUUCUACCUGUUUAACUCAGGAUAGGCGGAUAAAAGAAAGUGAGCUAAAGCUGCUGGUCUCCAGCUGGGCAUCUGUGAGCUAGAUAUUGCAUUUCUCAGUCCUGAUAGAACUAAAUUGGUUAUAUGUCUAAGUUUUUACCAUGGCUGGACCUUGACCAGCUUCAACCCUGCAGGUGAGGGCAGUACUCUGAGGGGAUGUCUGAAAAACAAGAUGGGGGGCGGCCCGGUGGCUCAGGCGGUUGGAGCUCCGUGCUCCUAACUCCGAAGGCUGCCGGUUCGAUUCCCACAUGGGCCAGUGGGCUCUCAACCACAAGGUUGCCAGUUCAAUUCCUCG